RNAcentral lists this ribosomal RNA (253 nucleotides) under uncultured bacterium. RNAcentral describes it as "partial 16S ribosomal RNA". It matches the Rfam family "Bacterial small subunit ribosomal RNA", at positions 524 to 776 of the family's 1533-position model. The record is from RNAcentral.
GACGUAGGGCGCGAGCGUUGUCCGGAUUUAUUGGGCGUAAAGAGCUCGUAGGCGGCUUGUUACGUCGUUCGUGAAAACUUGGGGCUCAACCCCAAGCUUGCGGUCGAUACGGGCAGGCUAGAGUUCGGUAGGGGAGACUGGAAUUCCUGGUGUAGCGGUGAAAUGCGCAGAUAUCAGGAGGAACACCGAUGGCGAAGGCAGGUCUCUGGGCCACUACUGACGCUGAGAAGCGAAAGCAUGGGGAGCGAACAGG